ACCUAGGAACUAGGGAUACCGGCCACAUUGGGACUGAGACACGGCCCAAACUCCUACGGAAGGCAGCAG
This 69-nucleotide ribosomal RNA is filed under the name uncultured bacterium. Its description in RNAcentral is "partial 16S ribosomal RNA". The record is from RNAcentral.